GACGAACGCUGGCGGCGUGCUUAACACAUGCAAGUCGUACGGUAAGGCCCUUUCGGGGGUACACGAGUGGCGAACGGGCGAGUAACACGUGCGUAACCUGCCCACCCCUUUGGGAGAACGAUAGGAAACUGGUGCUAAUACUGGCUAUGUGCUCCUGCCGCCUGGUGGGGGUUGGAAAGAUACGGUGGUUGUGGAUGGACUCGCGGCCUAUCAGCUUGUUGGUGGGGUAGUGGGCUACCAAGGCGGGGACGGGUAGCCGGCCUGGGAGGGUGACCGGCCACAUUGGGACUGAGAUACGGCCCAGACUCCUACGGGGAGCAGCAAGGGGGGAUAUUGCACAAUGGGCGCAAGCCUGAUGCAGCAACGCCGCGGGCGGGAUUACGGCCUUCGGGUUGGAAAACGCUUUCAGCAGGGACGAAGCUUUUUGUGACGGUACCUGCAGAAGAAGCACCGGCUAACUACGUG
This 465-nucleotide ribosomal RNA is filed under the name uncultured bacterium. RNAcentral describes it as "partial 16S ribosomal RNA". It matches the Rfam family "Bacterial small subunit ribosomal RNA", at positions 28 to 507 of the family's 1533-position model. The record is from RNAcentral.